This 497-nucleotide ribosomal RNA is filed under the name uncultured bacterium. RNAcentral describes it as "partial 16S ribosomal RNA". It matches the Rfam family "Bacterial small subunit ribosomal RNA", at positions 28 to 507 of the family's 1533-position model. The record is from RNAcentral.
GAUGAACGCUGGCGGCGUGCCUAAUACAUGCAAGUCGAGCGAACAGACGAGGAGCUUUCUCCUCUGACGUUAGCGGCUGACGGGUGAGUAACACGUGGAUAACCUACCUAUAAUACUGGGAUAACUUCGGGAAACCGGAUCUAAUACCGGAUAAUAUAUUGAACCGCAUGGUUCAAUAGUGAAAGACGGUUUUGCUGUCACUUAUAGAUGGAUCCGCGCCGCAUUAGCUAGUUGGUAAGGUAACGGCUUACCAAGGCGACGAUGCGUAGCCGACCUGAGAGGGUGAUCGGCCACACUGGAACUGAGACACGGUCCAGACUCCUACGGGAGGCAGCAGUAGGGAAUCUUCCGCAAUGGGCGAAAGCCUGACGGAGCAACGCCGCGUGAGUGAUGAAGGUCUUCGGAUCGUAAAACUCUGUUAUUAGGGAAGAACAAAUGUGUAAGUAACUAUGCACGUCUUGACGGUACCUAAUCAGAAAGCCACGGCUAACUACGUG